This 8334-nucleotide long non-coding RNA is filed under the name Theobroma cacao (cacao). RNAcentral describes it as "long non-coding RNA (TCAC_LNC005577)". Lineage: Eukaryota; Viridiplantae; Streptophyta; Magnoliopsida; Malvales; Malvaceae. The record is from RNAcentral.
UCCUUGUCAAAGUCAGCUAACUAUGGAAUUCCUUGAGCCUGAAAUGUGAGGAAAUGAGGGUGGUGAGAUUAUAAAAUUCCAGUGAGUAAACAGACACCAUCUAAACUAUCUAAAGGCGAGUAAAUAGAGACGAAUUAAAAUAUUCUUUUCCAAUAUAUGCUUCAUAACAUGAAUAUUCAGUUUACUCAAUUAAUCAACAUGGCUUAUAUACCUCACAAAACUUGGCUUCUGUCAAAAUCAUUCUCACGGGUACCUUCGUCAAGGUAUCCCACUAAGACCGCCAAGGCUGUUAAAUGUCCCAUACCCAUAAACAUGUUUUCACAUCUGACACACAACCAUUCCUUGGCGUUGGCUGAGUCUCACUCUCACGCUGUGGUCCACGUGAAGUGCACUCAAAUCUUUACCUCAAGAGAUACUUCAUCCAAUAUCUCUCCUUAGAGGUAAAUAUAUAAUUGGGUUACCGUGCCCUUCUCAUAGGUAGUCCACGGAAACCCCCACCAUUGCAGUGACUAUGGAUUAUUUUAUUUACCACCUGAUUUAUAAAAUCCUUAUCUACAUGACAUGGUAAUUUAUCGCAAUCUUACCUCUCAAGGCUAAAUACAUAGUAUAUAUAAUUUUGAUACAAAUACCGACUUUGCCAUUCAUGCUCACAUAUUACUAUAAGCCAUAUAAUUUAAAACACAAUUUAUAACACACGCAGGCAGUCUCCAAUUACUCUAUUUUCAAAACCAGUAUUCCACUUUCUAGAAAAUUUACAAAAUCAUUUUAUAAAAUCACAAUUUCUCCUAAAACAUAACAAUUUACCAUUUAAACUCAUUUUCUAUAAAAUCACAUAAUUGUAUAAAACUACUCUAGAUAAUUAAGACGAUAAUAAGUUUACUCACAGUUCUAGGAGUCGAUGUUCUCCUAAUCCCAAUCUUCAAGCACAAUCUCUGUACUUUUACCAGUGUAAUUUACUCACCACCUAUCCACAAUGUACAAUACAUAAUUCACCACAUUAAUGCUUGACCAUUAUAAAAUCAAUUCAGGCUCGGUGUAUAUGCAUGAUAUGAUAUGCAACUUAUCCGACUACCGCUUAAAUGCUGUGCUGACCUAAUUCGGCCUAUUACCCGAUUAAAUGACAAUUGUGUCCGAUUUGGCUCCAAAUUGCUCCAUUUCAUUUCUAAUACCUCAAUUCACCAAACAUUAUUUAAAUAACACCAAUUUCAGCAUCAAAACCUUCCCAUUUCUUCAUGGAAAAAUUCAGCCAUUAUAGUGCACUAACACCGUGAUUUUUCCUACUUAAUUUUCUCACCAUUAUUCAUCAUUUUCUAAGCCAUUUCUCUUGAAAUAAUAACAAUCUAUCACCCACACACAUCAAGGAAGAUUCGGCCAAUGAAGAUUCUUGGGGAAAAUGGAUUCUUUUCUUAUUGUUUUGCUUCUAAAUAUGCUAAACUAACUAAAAACACUAACAUAUCUUAAAAUCAAUUCAAUCCAACAUCUUUCUCUCUCCUUACCCAUUUUGACCAGCCAUGAAUUCAUCGUGAAAACAUGUAAUUUAACCAUGAAAAUUAAGGGACAAUGCAUGGGUAAGGUAAAUCACUAGCAAAAUAAAAAAAAAUUUACCUUUGUUUGAUCAAAUCCUUGAAUUCCAACACUUUAUGUUUGAUUUUUCUCACCUAGGGUUUGUUCUUCCUUGGUUUCUUUUCUCUUCUGAUUUGGCUGAUCACUAUGGGAGAAAUGGGUUGAUUUUUUGCCUUUUUAUAAAGAAAUAAUAAAAUAAUAAAAGCAUGACACAUGACAUUUUCUUAUUGGUUCAAAUUUUAAAUAUUUGACUUUUAAUUUUUUAAUUCUCCACCACACAUUUCUCAUGUUUAUCCAUUUCCAUGAUGAAUAAAAUCCCUUGGUCUUGACAAGUGUCAGGGAUGAAAAUUUAUCGAUUUGCCCUCGGGGUGGUAAAAUUACCAUUUCACCCCUAUACUCCAAAUUAUAUCAAAAAUUAAAAUUUUUUUCACUUCUAAACCUCAAAUCAUACUCCAAUAAGUCAAAUGGGGCUAAAAAAUUUUUUUUCUAAAAUUUUCAUUUUAUCCCCAGGUGGCAAAUGACCAUUUUGCCCCUAGAUAGUGAAAAUUCCGGUUUAACUCCAAAUUGAUCCUCAAACUCCAAAUCACUAUUUUAAAUCAUUCAUGGACUGUGAAACUCUUAAUUUCACCUUAAAAUUCUUAUUUGAACUAGUUCGAGGCUUAAUCGACUUAAUGAUACUAUUAGGAGCAAUAUCGUCUUUUAACGAUUCCUCGAACUUCUUAAAUAUGCAAACAUUCUAUUGAGCAUAUAAAUGACGUCGUAAUUAUUUUAUAGAACAGAGUUUGAUAAAUAUACUAAAUAUAAGUUAUCAUUGGAGUUGUACACUUUAAAGGGGAAUCUAAAAGGGUUCGAUUUAUUUAAAUAUACAAGUGUAUUUAUCUUAAACAUAUGAGGAGGUUAGUGGGAGCGAAUUUGAUUCUUUGAUGAUACAAUAGCAUAGGAUGCAAUGUGUAUAUAAAGAAACUACAAAAUUUUAAGGAGCGGAUGGCAUAACAUGAAGUGACAUAAGCAUAUAAUGUAUAUAGCAUAGUCCAGUUUGAAUGGUUUCAAAGAGCAAAAACGACUAUAUAUGUAUAUAAAUAAAGUCAUAUACAUCUUAUUGUAAAAGGCUCCGACAGGAAGAUAUUUAGAUCAUUAGUUCAUUGAACUAAUAAAGGGUUCUAAACAUUGUUAAUGUAAUAAUGGAGCCACACUAAAAGAACCUAAGUCCAUUGGAUCUAAAUAUAAUAAUAUGAUAAGAUGUUUGGAUAUCACAUAAACGAAUAACAAAAAGCAAUUAACCACAUUGAACAACACAAAUGAGUCUCAUAGAAGACAUGAUUGCUAAGUGGAUUGGAUCCAUAUACGAUAAGGUAACAAUUAGUUUUGUGCUAGUGAGAAAAUGUUGGAGUGAGCCCUACAGCCAAUUAAGAUUGGUCAAGACUUAGUUCCAAACAUGCAAUCAUAUAAUUCAUAUUGAAUGAUUAGAGGUUUUUAUUCAUCAAUAAGGCAUCAAUUAUAAAGGUUAUAAGUCUAUUUGAUGAAAUCCAUGAGAUUAAUAUACCUUGUAAGGGAAUUAUAAUAGGUUACAAUUAUGAGAUCCUUAUACAUCAAAGGAUAAUCUAUAAAUGUUCUUGGUCGAUGUAUCAUUGAGACUAAACAUUAAUGAUGCUCAGAGACUAGUGUAUUUUAUGUUCCUUACUAGGAAAGUAAGCAACCGAUCUCAUAGGUUAAAGUAUAGAGAUACUUGGAGUUAGAAUGUAGGUGCUUGUUCCAUGAGUAAGUUCACUGGACAUGACCCAACAUAAGAAAUGCAUUUGGUAUCUCACUCUAGUGUUUAUGCAAAUAUUUCUCAUGUGUUAGUUGUGUAAAUACCCAUUAGACUUAAGACACCAAGUUGUCUUUUAUAUGGUGUGCUACAUAUUUGAUCAUAUCCCUAUGGGUAUUACCAAGGAUGCCAAAAUAGGAUAUGGUUGGUUGUAGCAUGAAGCAUGUGAAGGAAAAAUAAGUGGUCAAGAAAUGAAUCAUCACCUAAGUGAGUUAGGGGAAAUUCUAAUACUUCUUGGUUGAUACUACCUUGUUGAAGUCCUUUGCCAAAGUGACUUGGAGAUUAUGGAAAAGAGUUUCAUAAGUCUCUAUAAAGCUAAUUAUCUAACUUUAAAAACGAAUAUGGAAAUUAAUAAGAGUAGACACUACACCAUACUCUUAUCUUUUCUAGGAUAUAUGAUGAGGAAAUGAAUUAUACUGAUAGACUAUACACUAAAAAGUUGUCAAAGAAUCCUUUGACUCUCCUAAUAAUUGAAUGGCCAUGAUGCAUUGUUAGACGUCAAUCUUGAUCUAUGAAAUUGACUUAAUUAAUUUAAUAAAAAUUAUAAUUCAAUUCCAUUGCUAAUAUAUUAGGAACCUAAGGAGUCACACACAAUAAGUUACAUUAUGAAUUAAAUUGGAAGUGUGAUGAUUUAAGUUGGACUUAAAUUAUACACUAGGUUUUCAACUUCUAAGGACUUAAUUAAAAUAUUUUAAUUAAGUAUAAGGUCAAUAUUAUAAUUAGUUAUAAUAUUAAAGCCUUAAUUGAAAACAAAUAAAGCAAAUUAAUUUUAAUUUUAAUUUACAAUGACUUAAUUAAAAAGGUUUAAUUACGUGUUGGGCUAAUAUUAUAAAUGGUUAUAAUAUUGAGGCUUUAUUUGCAAUUUAAGAAGUUAGUCAAUCUAGAUAUAAAUAUCACUUUUCAGCUAUUCCUCAAAAAACAAGUGAAACACACAAGUUAGGUUUUUUGAGUCACUAGAAAACUAAUAAGAAAAGCCUAGCCAUACGCUUUCUUGAGUAACUUGGAAAAAUAGUUUUCCAACUUUAUGAUUCGGCUAGGAAGAGUGUGAUUGUGUGGAGAAGACAAGUUAUUGUCCACCUUGUUAGCACAAAGGCAUAGUUGAGAAAGCUUUCUCCUUGUGAAGGUUCAAGUGCAAUCAUGUGUGUAAUCAUUGAAGGCCAAGCCUUUGAUUGGCUCAAGUUCUUUACUCCCUUUGUGGUGUUCACGGGUUGGAUAAGGAAAAAGUACCAUCAUGAUAGUCACAUCACUUGGUCAAGGUAAUCUUAUAUUUUCUAAUUAUUCCUCUCUUCUGGUUUUGUCUAUAUUAAAACUACCAAGGAGAUCGAUGGUAGGUGCGGCAUGUUUUUGUUCUUCAUUUAGAAUUUUUUUUGUUUCAUUCUACUGCGUUGAAUUUGAUCAUGAUGUUCCCAACAAUAUAUCUGAAGCCUAUUCUUAUAUUUUAAAAUUAUUUAUUGGAGUAUGAAAAAUUUUGAAUAUAGCCAUAUAGUUAUCAAACCUUGGUGAGUUGGUAACUAAGAUACAUUAAUUGGGAGUGACUAGACGGGUGAUUUGUGUAGGCUUCAAAUAUAUGUUGUUGCUUCCCCCAUUGUAAUUUAGCUCUUGUUGUGAAAUUAUGAAAUUGUUGCUGCCCCAAUAUUGUAGGUUUCUUUAUCAAUAUGUGAAAUUGUGGUUGUUGUUUGUGUGAAAUUGUUGUUAUUAUUUAAAUGUUGUUUUGAACAAUCUAUUGCUGUUUUGAAUAAUCUUUUUUGGUGAAAAAUCUGAGAAUAAUUUAAAUAAUUAUUAGUAAUUAUGCAAAAUAAAUUAGGGUUUAGUUUUUAAGCAAAUGGAAAAAUGUUUUAGUUAAUUAAGCAUAUAACUAAAUUAGUAAUAAGAUUUAAUUUAAAAUAUAUUUAAAUUAAUUAAGGUGUUAAUGAGUUAAUUAAAUAAUUUAGUUAAUAAAGAAUCAUAUAAUGUAUUAUACGUAAUUAAGAAAUUAAUUAACAAAAUAAUAUUAGAUAAUAUUUUAUUUAUUUAAAUUAAUUAAUGGUUUAGGGAAGUAGUUACAUAAUUUAACUAAUUAUGAAUAAUUAUGUAUGGGUAAUUAAGCAAUUAACUAAAUUAGUAAUAUUAUAUCAUUUUUCAAAUAUUUAAAUAAAUUAAGAUGUUAAUUAAUGAGUUAAUUAAAUAAUUUAUUUAAUUAAGUAAUGUAAUGUGUUAUAAGUAAUUAAGCAAAUACAUGUGUUAUAAGUUAGAUUUUGUGGUCCAUUGAUAUUUGUGUUAACAUCUGCUAAUGUAUAAUUUAAUUAUAUAAUUAGAUUUAAGGUUUAGUUAUAUAAAUUAGUUAACUAAAUUAGUAAUAUUAUAUCAUGUUAAAAAUAUUUAGGGUGAUUAAAUUAAGGUAUUAAUGAGUUAAUUAAAUAAUUUAUUUAGGGUGUUUAGGGAUUAGGGUUUAGUGUUAUAAGUAAUUAAGUAAUUAAUUAAAUAAAUAAUAUUAUAUAAUAUUAUAUUUAUUUGAUGUAUUCUUUUGAUCUCUGAUAUAUUAAAGUUCUAUAAGACAAAGAAGCCGUCACGUGAAUUGGUUUCUAACUAAAAAUUUUGUGGUGCGUAUGAGGUAAAAUUUUUUUUUCUCAAAUUAAAACUUAGAUUAACAAUCUAAGUUUUGACUUUAAUAUUAGAGAAGUAGUGGUCUGCAAAAGUUAAAACUAUGGCUUUCUACAAUGGUCAAAGAGAACAUCAUAGCAAUCUGAUUAACUUUAUGUCCAAAAAACCUCAUUUUUUCAAGGUAAUUUAAAGGAUUGCUAUUGAUUAUGAAAAAUUGUUAUGUAAUCUUUUUGCAAUUAUAAACUAUAAUUUUGAAUGUGAAUUUAAUGUAUUCUAUAUGAAAGAUGUUCUUGGCAUACAACAGACUUUAAAAUCACAUUCAAAUUAUGGUUUAUAAUUGGAAAAAGAUCUCUCACUAGUUUUACAUAAUCUUUAGCGUUCCUUAGAAUUAUCUUGAAAAAAUGGAGUUUUCUAGACGUAAAGUUGAGGCUGCGAUGAUCUCUUUAGCCACUGUAGAACGCCAUAGCUUUAACUUUUGCAAAACAAUUCUCCAAUAUUAAAGUCAAAAUUUAUAUUGUUAAUCUAAGUUUUAAAUUGAGAAAAAAAAUAAUUUACCGAUGAAAAUUUUUGUCAUCAAUUUCGACGAAAAUACUGAUGAAAUUAUCCCAUUACUGACUACAAAUCGACCGACGGAUUGGAUCCAUUACCAAUUAAUUGCUGAUGGAAUAUUCAAUGGGUAAAUUACCGAUGGAAUAUUUUGUCACCAACGGAUUUCCCAUUACCAACUUAUGCUAUUUCCAAUGAAAUUUUAAGGAAAAUUUCAUCAGUAAUGCUUUAUUUUUUUGUAGUGUAUACACUCAUUUAAUGAUAUAAUUAUCAAUAAUAUGGUAAUUUAGUUGAACUAUACCUCUGUAAUUGGUUGAAAUCAUGAUUAAGAAACUAAAUUUUCUAAAGGCCAAGAAUUUUAAAAUUUUCAAAUCAAGAACAUUGUGAUUUUAUGUAAUCUUUAUAAAACUACCUUGAGAUAAUUGUUUCUUGAUAACUAAAGAUUGUUAUUACUUAGUUCAAUUGAGCACCAAUUCCAAGAUUCAACCAAGUAUCCAUUUCAAUGGAAUUUCUAAUAGUCUAAGUUCAAGCCAAAGGUUUCUCAACCAAAGGAGUAGUGCCAUGACCCCCACUACUUAGGGCAACAAGCGAUGUGCCUCAACACACAUCUAGUACCAUAGCACUUGCUAGAUAAGAAUAACAAGUAUGUGAUUUACUCGUUGCAAAUGUCUAGCACUAGAACCCCUGCUAGAUGGGAAAACAAGCCAUGUGUGACAGCACACGUCUAGCACCAUAGCCCUUAUUAGAUAGGAAUGACAAGCAUGUGACUUAUCUACAACACAUGUCUAGCACGAUAGCCCCUAUUAGAUAGGAAUGACGAGCGAUGUGCCCCAACACAUGUCUAGCACCAUAGCGUUGCUAUAUAGGGUCAAUAAGCAUGUGACUUAUCUACUGCACAUGUCUAGCACCAUGGCCCCUAAUAGAUACGGUCAACAAGCAUAUGUCUCACCAUUGCACAUGUCAAACACCACGCCUUGCUAGAUGGGCCUCACAAGCAUGUGUCUCGCCAUUGCACAUGUUUAGCACCAUGCCUUGCUAAAUGGGCCUCACAUACCAUUUAUACCUCUUCACUUGAUAGCUAAAUUUCACAAUCAACCAACCUCGUCCAAGUUUGUAUAUACCAACAUCAAUGCCAACUUAUUCUUUCACAAUACAAUUCAACCACCAUGUGGCUCUCAUGUCAAUACCAUAAAAAACCAUUUUCAAUAAAUCAUGCAAGGGCUUGUUCCCUCUGCAAAUUUCAAUACUAUAUAGUAUAGUCAUUCAUAUACUAUAUAGCAUAGCAUUCAUAUACAUAUAUAGAUGCCGUAGUAUCAAAACGUGUUCCCAGCAAUAAUUUCAUCACAAAGUUUGGUUUAGAACACAACAUUUAAAUCAAUUUGAGUGAGCAUGUAAACCAUCCUUCAUGCACAUUUGUUAGCAAAAUAGUUUGAUGCAAUUGACUUAGCUCAAGUGCUUUCUUCCUACUCUAACAAGUAAACCAAUGCACCUUGGUUCAAAUUGUUCCUUGGAGCUUCAAAGGAACGUAAAACAACAAUAGCUCACUAAGAUUAUUCGUAACUUCUUAAUUCGAAAUUAGUCAAGUAAGCUACGAAUUUCACAUUGCAAUGCCAAUAACCUUCAACUAUCAUUCCACAAGCUCAACAAUGUCAAAAUAUCAAGUCCUUACCUUGGUAAGCAAUUAACAGUAGCUUUCCACCAAUUUCCUUAGCCUAGAGAGAGAGACCAAGCUGUAACCAUAAAGAGAAAAAAUUAUAAACCAAUUAAACCGAAGCUAACAGUGCAAGGAAGCCUAAACUCACUUUGGUUUCCAAUUCUAGAGUUCCAAGGAGUGAGUG